UACGUAUGUCACGAGCGUUAUCCGGAUUUAUUGGGCGUAAAGCGCGUCUAGGUGGUUAUGUAAGUCUGAUGUGAAAAUGCAGGGCUCAACUCUGUAUUGCGUUGGAAACUGUAUAACUAGAGUACUGGAGAGGUAAGCGGAACUACAAGUGUAGAGGUGAAAUUCGUAGAUGAUUUGUUAGGAAUGCCGAUGGGGAAAGCCAGCUUACUGGACAGAUACUGACGCUGAAGCGCGAAGGCGUGGGUAGCAAACAGGAUUACGAUACCCGCGUAGUCC
This 276-nucleotide ribosomal RNA is filed under the name uncultured bacterium. RNAcentral's name for it is "partial 16S ribosomal RNA". It matches the Rfam family "Bacterial small subunit ribosomal RNA", at positions 524 to 796 of the family's 1533-position model. The record is from RNAcentral.